RNAcentral lists this non-coding RNA (758 nucleotides) under Pan troglodytes (chimpanzee). The record is from RNAcentral. Lineage: Eukaryota; Metazoa; Chordata; Mammalia; Primates; Hominidae.
CGCGGGCCGCCGGGCCGGGGUCGCCGCCCGGGCUCGGUCAGUCGGUACCUUCAUGAAGGUCUCUACCGCGCCUUUGGCCGUGUCCAGCCUCGUCCCAAAUGCCGUGGGAGGGAAGGCACUCUCUGUCAAGCUGCUGUCACCUUACCUGAAGUAAGGAGUCCACGCCUGCAUGUCCGAGGAAAACAGUUUUCUCAAACACAUUAGUUGAAAAACUGAAGACGCUGCCUAAAAUACAAGCUGAGUUAGAGACAGCCCUUGUAAGACUAGAAAAAGAAAUGGAAACUAAGUAACAUGAAUUAACAUAGUCCAGGGUCACAAAGCAAAAUGGAACAAGAACCUGGAUCUGAAUUCAGAGGCAGAAUGCUGGGCCUGAGAAUCAGGAGAGUCAAUGGUAUUAGUGCUUGUCCGGAAGCCAUCAUGCUUCAAAACCAAGAAGAGCUGAUUUUCCAGUUGGAGUCUAAAGGUUGGGUUUCCCAAGAAGUAGAUUCUGAGACAGAGAGUUGUGUGCAGGCGUCCAUUGAGAAAACACUUGUGAGGGCAUGAGGAAGUAGGACAGCGGCAGAGUUUAGCCUGAGGAAAGGCCUUGUGAGGACAUAACCAGGAAGAGAGUCCUCACCAGAACCUGACCAUAACUGCACCCUGAUCUCAAGCUUCCAGCUUCCAGAACCAUGAGAAAUCAAUGUUUGUUGUUUUAGCCACCCAGUCUACAGAAAUUUGUUAUAGCCACCCUAGCUGACUACCACAUUGGACAUCACAGC